Molecule: long non-coding RNA, 1714 nt
Organism: Anser brachyrhynchus (Pink-footed goose)
Lineage: Eukaryota; Metazoa; Chordata; Aves; Anseriformes; Anatidae
Source: Ensembl
CCCCUGUCUGCAAAUGGCAAAAGAACAUUUUUAUCUGAGAUCACACUGCUGUUUUCAGAAAUCUGUCCCUAAGUAUCAAGUUUAAUCAUCGCCUUUCAUUUAAAGGAGCACCAAGAGACAGUUAAGCCCACAUUUUCUGUUCCAAAUGAAUGGAAAUGAAAAGCUGCUUAGGAGUAACAGUGACUGGAGGAGGCACUGGGGAGGUUGUGCUGGAGUUUGACAGCCUGCCUGGAGAAGCCAGGGGCAGCAAGGCAGGAGAGCCAGGAGAGGAGAUCUCUUUCUUUCCUUCUCAUCCUUCCCACCACUCUAAAAAUCUAGAAGAGCAGUCAUCUGCAUUCUGCAUUCAUCUCAGUGUCGAGAGGAAAAAACAUUGCAACGAUUUUUCUGGAUUGGAAAAAACUCUUUCUCCCUACUUGGAUGGUAAAGCUGCUGUUACCAAGUGCCUAUGCUACUGCCAGCAAUAUGUCUCAGCCAGGGGCACAGGUUGCUCAGUUUUCAUCAAAGCAGCAGAGGGAAAUGGCUAUGUGGAGCAUGCUUUGCAGUUGCCUGCUGAAACCUCUGAGACUGGCUCUGAAUUUCCUGCUUUGAAACGUUUUGCUGCCAUAGUGCAACGGUUCAUGAAGCACAAUAACACUUCUCUUCUGGCCUCCAGGACACUCUCUCAUAUGGGCAGGAUGUGGCUCCCUGUGUUCCGUCUCCUCCUAGUUAUUUGUUUGUGUAAUGAAAUCUUCCACACUGACAUAGCAUUCUUGCAUGCUUUUAUAUAAGACAAACUACUUGUUUGAAAUAUCAUCAGUCCCUUGAAUUGCAAUGUAUAUGCUCUCCUUGUGUCUUUGUUGGUACUGCCUCUGCAAUACCAUAAAACAUUUAGAGAGGUGUUAUUCUGCUAAUGUGUACUGCAGUUGUGGCUGGAGCUGGGUUACAUUUUUCUGUAGUAAUUAACUGAGAAUUUUAGUUUGUACAUAGUGGUGGAUUAAACGGGAUGAUCAAAACGGGGGUCUCAUCUCAUAUGACCAAAUGCUUAGCAUUCAUGUUGGAGGUUGCUCCUCGUAGCAGAGUACUCUGAAUAGCUCAUGAAUCAAGCCUUGAAACUAGUUCGCAUUAGCAAACUGUCUGUAGGCCCUGCAGCAGCUCCAGAUCUGCUCCAAGAGCAGCCCAGCUACCCCUGAGGGCAGCACCCCUUCUAGAAAGGAUAAGGCAGAUGACAGAGCAUAAUGCAUGUUUCACGUGUCUGACUUCAAUACCCUACCAUGUGUGAGUAAGAACCCUUAGAUAUUUUACGGGGAGGAAAAAAAAAAAAAAGACAAUUAUUUAUGUACCAAAUAGCUACUAGAAGGGCUUUUGUUAUUCUGACUGAGUACAAUGUAUGUGAAAAGCAGAAAGAAUCAGCAUGAGAAAAAGAUACUAGAGACCAGCAUAGGUGAGCAGGAGAUGAAAGAAAGAAAAAGAUGAAGGCGGUAAAGGUGAGGCGGAAUGAGGCAGUAGCUACGAUGUCCUCUGCAAGUAUAUGUGAACCUGGUCUGUGUUCCAAAUCCUCUGGCUCGGUAGGACACUACUAAAGGUUGUUGUUUUUUUAACGCAGUCAAAAGUCUAUCAUUUGGAGAAGAGGUUGAUGCAUUUUGCCACCUCUGAACAAGCAUAAGCAGAAGUCAUCCUCUGUCAGUAGAAGUGAGCAAAAAUAACCUCUCAUGAGUGGUGGUUAAACGUCUUAGUC